This 279-nucleotide long non-coding RNA is filed under the name Mytilus galloprovincialis (Mediterranean mussel). The record is from RNAcentral. Lineage: Eukaryota; Metazoa; Mollusca; Bivalvia; Mytilida; Mytilidae.
UCUUUUGUUUGUGUGUGUCUGGUAAUAUCAAAUAACUCGGUUAGAAAAUUGGUUAGAAUGAUAGCAAAUUACAGAGUUAUCUCCCCUUAUUCGAUCAUUUCUAGUGCAUUUCAACCAAAUUGUAUCUUCUAUUACCAGAACAGAAAACGAAAAUGAAUGUUAUUUUUGUGCAUAACUACAUAUUAUGAACUGAAAUCAAUGUCAAUUUGGGUGGGGUUUUUUGGUCAUGUUUUCACCACUGCCUGAUUCUUAGGCAGACUGGCACUUAAUUGUAUUAAA